Molecule: ribosomal RNA, 2903 nt
Filed under: Escherichia coli
Lineage: Bacteria; Pseudomonadati; Pseudomonadota; Gammaproteobacteria; Enterobacterales; Enterobacteriaceae
Also listed under: 17 other names
Description: bacterial LSU rRNA
Rfam family: Bacterial large subunit ribosomal RNA
Source: RNAcentral
UUAAGCGACUAAGCGUACACGGUGGAUGCCCUGGCAGUCAGAGGCGAUGAAGGACGUGCUAAUCUGCGAUAAGCGUCGGUAAGGUGAUAUGAACCGUUAUAACCGGCGAUUUCCGAAUGGGGAAACCCAGUGUGAUUCGUCACACUAUCAUUAACUGAAUCCAUAGGUUAAUGAGGCGAACCGGGGGAACUGAAACAUCUAAGUACCCCGAGGAAAAGAAAUCAACCGAGAUUCCCCCAGUAGCGGCGAGCGAACGGGGAGGAGCCCAGAGCCUGAAUCAGUGUGUGUGUUAGUGGAAGCGUCUGGAAAGGCGCGCGAUACAGGGUGACAGCCCCGUACACAAAAAUGCACAUGCUGUGAGCUCGAUGAGUAGGGCGGGACACGUGGUAUCCUGUCUGAAUAUGGGGGGACCAUCCUCCAAGGCUAAAUACUCCUGACUGACCGAUAGUGAACCAGUACCGUGAGGGAAAGGCGAAAAGAACCCCGGCGAGGGGAGUGAAAAAGAACCUGAAACCGUGUACGUACAAGCAGUGGGAGCACAGAGCAAUCUGUGUGACUGCGUACCUUUUGUAUAAUGGGUCAGCGACUUAUAUUCUGUAGCAAGGUUAACCGAAUAGGGGAGCCGAAGGGAAACCGAGUCUUAACCGGGCGUUAAGUUGCAGGGUAUAGACCCGAAACCCGGUGAUCUAGCCAUGGGCAGGUUGAAGGUUGGGUAACACUAACUGGAGGACCGAACCGACUAAUGUUGAAAAAUUAGCGGAUGACUUGUGGCUGGGGGUGAAAGGCCAAUCAAACCGGGAGAUAGCUGGUUCUCCCCGAAAGCUAUUUAGGUAGCGCCUCGUGAAUUCAUCUCCGGGGGUAGAGCACUGUUUCGGCAAGGGGGUCAUCCCGACUUACCAACCCGAUGCAAACUGCGAAUACCGGAGAAUGUUAUCACGGGAGACACACGGCGGGUGCUAACGUCCGUCGUGAAGAGGGAAACAACCCAGACCGCCAGCUAAGGUCCCAAAGUCAUGGUUAAGUGGGAAACGAUGUGGGAAGGCCCAGACAGCCAGGAUGUUGGCUUAGAAGCAGCCAUCAUUUAAAGAAAGCGUAAUAGCUCACUGGUCGAGUCGGCCUGCGCGGAAGAUGUAACGGGGCUAAACCAUGCACCGAAGCUGCGGCAGCGACACUGUGUGUUGUUGGGUAGGGGAGCGUUCUGUAAGCCUGUGAAGGUGUGCUGUGAGGCAUGCUGGAGGUAUCAGAAGUGCGAAUGCUGACAUAAGUAACGAUAAAGCGGGUGAAAAGCCCGCUCGCCGGAAGACCAAGGGUUCCUGUCCAACGUUAAUCGGGGCAGGGUGAGUCGACCCCUAAGGCGAGGCCGAAAGGCGUAGUCGAUGGGAAACAGGUUAAUAUUCCUGUACUUGGUGUUACUGCGAAGGGGGGACGGAGAAGGCUAUGUUGGCCGGGCGACGGUUGUCCCGGUUUAAGCGUGUAGGCUGGUUUUCCAGGCAAAUCCGGAAAAUCAAGGCUGAGGCGUGAUGACGAGGCACUACGGUGCUGAAGCAACAAAUGCCCUGCUUCCAGGAAAAGCCUCUAAGCAUCAGGUAACAUCAAAUCGUACCCCAAACCGACACAGGUGGUCAGGUAGAGAAUACCAAGGCGCUUGAGAGAACUCGGGUGAAGGAACUAGGCAAAAUGGUGCCGUAACUUCGGGAGAAGGCACGCUGAUAUGUAGGUGAAGUCCCUCGCGGAUGGAGCUGAAAUCAGUCGAAGAUACCAGCUGGCUGCAACUGUUUAUUAAAAACACAGCACUGUGCAAACACGAAAGUGGACGUAUACGGUGUGACGCCUGCCCGGUGCCGGAAGGUUAAUUGAUGGGGUCAGCGCAAGCGAAGCUCUUGAUCGAAGCCCCGGUAAACGGCGGCCGUAACUAUAACGGUCCUAAGGUAGCGAAAUUCCUUGUCGGGUAAGUUCCGACCUGCACGAAUGGCGUAAUGAUGGCCAGGCUGUCUCCACCCGAGACUCAGUGAAAUUGAACUCGCUGUGAAGAUGCAGUGUACCCGCGGCAAGACGGAAAGACCCCGUGAACCUUUACUAUAGCUUGACACUGAACAUUGAGCCUUGAUGUGUAGGAUAGGUGGGAGGCUUUGAAGUGUGGACGCCAGUCUGCAUGGAGCCGACCUUGAAAUACCACCCUUUAAUGUUUGAUGUUCUAACGUGGACCCGUGAUCCGGGUUGCGGACAGUGUCUGGUGGGUAGUUUGACUGGGGCGGUCUCCUCCUAAAGAGUAACGGAGGAGCACGAAGGUUGGCUAAUCCUGGUCGGACAUCAGGAGGUUAGUGCAAUGGCAUAAGCCAGCUUGACUGCGAGCGUGACGGCGCGAGCAGGUGCGAAAGCAGGUCAUAGUGAUCCGGUGGUUCUGAAUGGAAGGGCCAUCGCUCAACGGAUAAAAGGUACUCCGGGGAUAACAGGCUGAUACCGCCCAAGAGUUCAUAUCGACGGCGGUGUUUGGCACCUCGAUGUCGGCUCAUCACAUCCUGGGGCUGAAGUAGGUCCCAAGGGUAUGGCUGUUCGCCAUUUAAAGUGGUACGCGAGCUGGGUUUAGAACGUCGUGAGACAGUUCGGUCCCUAUCUGCCGUGGGCGCUGGAGAACUGAGGGGGGCUGCUCCUAGUACGAGAGGACCGGAGUGGACGCAUCACUGGUGUUCGGGUUGUCAUGCCAAUGGCACUGCCCGGUAGCUAAAUGCGGAAGAGAUAAGUGCUGAAAGCAUCUAAGCACGAAACUUGCCCCGAGAUGAGUUCUCCCUGACCCUUUAAGGGUCCUGAAGGAACGUUGAAGACGACGACGUUGAUAGGCCGGGUGUGUAAGCGCAGCGAUGCGUUGAGCUAACCGGUACUAAUGAACCGUGAGGCUUAACCUU